CCUACGGGAGGCAGCAGUGGGGAAUAUUGGACAAUGGGCGAAAGCCUGAUCCAGCCAUGCCGCGUGUGUGAAGAAGGCCUUCGGGUUGUAAAGCACUUUCAGUGGGGAAGAAAGCCUUGGGGCUAAUACCCUCGAGGAAGGACAUUACCCACAGAAGAAGCACCGGCUAACUCCGUGCCAGCAGCCGCGGUAAUACGGAGGGUGCAAGCGUUAAUCGGAAUUACUGGGCGUAAAGCGCGCGUAGGCGGUCUGAUAAGCCGGUUGUGAAAGCCCCGGGCUCAACCUGGGAACUGCAUCCGGAACUGUCAGGCUAGAGUGCAGGAGAGGAAGGUAGAAUUCCCGGUGUAGCGGUGAAAUGCGUAGAGAUCGGGAGGAAUACCAGUGGCGAAGGCGGCCCUCUGGACUGACACUGACGCUGAGGUGCGAAAGCGUGGGUAGCAAACAGGAUUAGAUACCCCAGUAGUC
Molecule: ribosomal RNA, 465 nt
Filed under: Vreelandella stevensii
Lineage: Bacteria; Pseudomonadati; Pseudomonadota; Gammaproteobacteria; Oceanospirillales; Halomonadaceae
Description: partial 16S ribosomal RNA
Rfam family: Bacterial small subunit ribosomal RNA
Source: RNAcentral